This 254-nucleotide ribosomal RNA is filed under the name uncultured bacterium. RNAcentral's name for it is "partial 16S ribosomal RNA". It matches the Rfam family "Bacterial small subunit ribosomal RNA", at positions 524 to 777 of the family's 1533-position model. The record is from RNAcentral.
AACGUAGGAGACAAACGUUAUCCGGAGUUACUGGGCGUAAAGGGCGUGCAGGUGGUCUGUUAAGUCUGGCGUGAAAGCUCUCGGCUAAACCGGGAGAGGUCGUUGGAUACUGGCGGACUAGAGGACGGUAGAGGCGUGUGGAAUUCCGGGUGUAGUGGUGAAAUGCGUAGAGAUCCGGAGGAACACCAGUGGCGAAGGCGACACGCUGGGCCGUACCUGACACUAAUACGCGACAGCAUGGGGAGCGAACGGGG